Molecule: ribosomal RNA, 488 nt
Filed under: Nostoc sp. HG1
Lineage: Bacteria; Bacillati; Cyanobacteriota; Cyanophyceae; Nostocales; Nostocaceae
Description: partial 23S ribosomal RNA
Rfam family: Bacterial large subunit ribosomal RNA
Source: RNAcentral
GGCAAAGACCGUAUAGUACUCUGAGUCUUCGGACAAUGAGAUAGUACACCUAAGGGCUUCAAGAAAACCUCUAAACUUCAGGUUAUUAGUACCCGUACCGUAAACCGACACAGGUAGUCGAGGAGAGAAUCCUAAGGUGCUCGAGAGAUUCAUGGCUAAGGAAUUAGGCAAAAUAGACCUGUAACUUCGGGAGAAAGGUCGCCAACAGCAAUGUUGGCCGCAGUGAAGAGGUCCAGGCGACUGUUUAUCAAAAACACAGGGCUCUGCAAAAUCGUAAGAUGAAGUAUAGGGCCUGACACCUGCCCGGUGCUGGAAGGUUAAGAGGAGAUGUCAUGGGGUAACCCAGAAGCAUUGAAUUGAAGCCCCAGUAAACGGCGGCCGUAACUAUAACGGUCCUAAGGUAGCGAAAUUCCUUGUCGGGUAAGUUCCGACCUGCACGAAUGGCAGUAACGAUCUCCCCGCUGUCUCUGAUGUGGACUCAGCGAAAU